UUGCAGUUUGAAAUACUUGUGUAGUUUAGUUUAGAUAUAUAUUUAAACUAGCACGUUAAAUAAUAGUUUGCCCUGUUUGUGUUUGCUAAGUUUCAACUAAUACUCUCAGUAUUUAUCUUUGUGCUUAUGUGAUAGAUUUGUUAUGCACUGUAGUGAUGUGGGGUGUUUCCUUAUUUUCUGCAUCUUAACUACCUUAUUUUCUGCAUCUUAAAUACCUUAUUUUUUUGCAUCUUAAUUGGUACUGAAAUUUGGUUUGUUUCAGUGAAAGAGGCACUAUCAGCAUUGACAUGUACAUGUGAUUUUAAGCAAGAACCAGGAGAGAGAGUUUUAGUGUGCCGUAUUUAGAACUUGCCGAUAUCUUUUUCCCGUUUCAGCAAGUAUUCCUGAUAGUGGGGAUUCUUCCAGUAAUGCUAGAUAUUGGUUCUAACAACGAGAAGUUACUUAACGAUCCUCUUUGAUUUAUUGGAGUUGAGGAGUCCCAUAAUCUUUAUGUUCUGUUUGUGUUUCUCCAUCACUUUCUCAAAGCUGUUCAAUUGGAGUUCCAUCUUCAGGUAAUAUUGAUGUGUUUGUUUCUAAGAUUAUUUUAUUGAACACUUGUUUUUGUUGUCUCCAUCCACCAACUGUUUGAUAAAAUGCCGCAUUGAACAAUUUUGUGGGUUCUUGGGAAGCAUGUGAUCUAUGUGUUGUGGAAUUUGUAUAAUUAGUUAGAGUGAUUUAGAAAAACUUUUGUAUUUGUAGUUGGAUAGAUAAUUCAUUCCAUAUUUAGAGCAUGAUUAAGAGUUAUUUUGAAAAUGUUAAAAUUACUUCAAAAGAUAUUUGGAUAAUUUAAAUGACUUUCUAUUGUAUGAUGAUCACGUUUGAUAGAUCGAAAAAUUUUCUUCUUCUUCUUCGUUUCUUCCUGCUGCCUAUUCGACCUUCAACCUUGAGUGUAGUUGCUUGGCUGUCGAAUUGCCACCACUCAAAGUCACUCCCUCGCCUUCUUAUCACUCUUAAUUUCCUUGACAACAAAGUCAAACUGCUACAGAACAAUCGAAUUUUUGUUUGAUUAAUUUUCACCCUUGUUUUCUUUGAAAAGUUUAAACUUCCAUACACGAUAUAUUGGGAAACUUUCACAUUCCUCGGGACAUUAAAAGCUCAAGAGCAUUGAUUUUGAGCAAAAUAAAAAUGAAAAUCCCUUUUA
This is a long non-coding RNA of Cucumis sativus (cucumber), 1180 nucleotides long. RefSeq lists it as uncharacterized. The transcript is spliced from 3 exons. The record is from RefSeq and is a predicted model, not a curated record. NCBI's taxonomy places the organism in Eukaryota, Viridiplantae, Streptophyta, Magnoliopsida, Cucurbitales, Cucurbitaceae.